UCGAGAGUUUGAUCCUGGCUCAGGAUGAACGCUAGCGGCAGGCUUAACACAUGCAAGUCGAGGGGUAUAGUUCUUCGGAGCUAGAGACCGGCGCACGGGUGCGUAACGCGUAUGCAAUCUACCUUAUACAGGGGAAUAGCCCAGAGAAAUUUGGAUUAAUACCUCAUAGUAUGUGAGAAUCGCAUGGUUUUUCACAUUAAAGUUCCAACGGUAAAAGAUUAGCCUGCGUCCGAUUAGCUAGUUGGUAGGGUAAAGGCCUACCAAGGCGACGAUCGGUAGCUGGUCUGAGAGGAUGACCAGCCACACUGGAACUGAGACACGGUCCACGACU
This 331-nucleotide ribosomal RNA is filed under the name uncultured Flavobacterium sp. RNAcentral describes it as "bacterial SSU rRNA". It matches the Rfam family "Bacterial small subunit ribosomal RNA", at positions 1 to 337 of the family's 1533-position model. Lineage: Bacteria; Pseudomonadati; Bacteroidota; Flavobacteriia; Flavobacteriales; Flavobacteriaceae. The record is from RNAcentral.